RNAcentral lists this long non-coding RNA (646 nucleotides) under Citrus maxima (pomelo). RNAcentral describes it as "long non-coding RNA (CMAX_LNC003659)". The record is from RNAcentral. Lineage: Eukaryota; Viridiplantae; Streptophyta; Magnoliopsida; Sapindales; Rutaceae.
GAGUUUCAAAAGCUUUUCUUUUCUAAAAACAAUUUUGGGCUUUUUUCUCAAAAUGGCUUCUUCUUCUUUGCUCUGUUUUGGCCUUUGCUUUCUAGUUCUCUUCAACGCCUGCUUUGCUCAAAUAGAGCAGGUAACAGACAUAACUAGGGAAGGAAAGCAGCAAAGGCAACGGCAGCAACGCUUCCAAACCCAGUGCAAUAUCCAGAACCUCAACGCCCUUGAGCCCCGACAGAAGGUCGAAUCCGAAGCUGGCGUCACAGAGUUCUGGGACCAGAACAAUGAGCAAUUACAGUGCGCCAAUGUUGCCGUAUUUCGCCAACGUAUCCAGCAGAGAGGGCUGCUCGUGCCUGCGUACACCAACACUCCUGAGAUUUUCUAUGUUGUUCAAGGCAAGCAAGCAAGCAUAUCCUGUCUUCAAUAUAUAUUAAGUUAAAUUAUUUUAAUUGUUUUCUAAAUAACAAAGUUAGAAAUAAAUUAAUUAACAGGUAGAGGCAUUCAUGGAGUUGUAUUCCCCGGAUGUGCUGAGACUUUCCAAGAUUCACAACAACAGCAGUCGUUCCAGAGCAGUAAAUCCCAAGAUCAACACCAAAAGGUCAGACAACUACGUGAGGGUGAUGUCAUUGCAUUGCCUGCUGGAGCAGCUCAC